Molecule: long non-coding RNA, 267 nt
Organism: Melozone crissalis (California towhee)
Lineage: Eukaryota; Metazoa; Chordata; Aves; Passeriformes; Passerellidae
Exons: 4
Source: RefSeq, a predicted model, not a curated record
AGGUGUCAAUCAAGGCCCUGUGCAAGGCCAGGGAGGCGGAGCUCCAGAGGCCACGCCCACACAGAGCUGCCAAUCACCCCGGGAAGGUUCAGGAGGCUCCAGAUUGGUCGGAACAGGCUGAGUCUAUACUGAUUGGCCACAGCCCAGAGGCGGUGCUUUGGGCGCUGGAGGUCCUGGCCAAUCAGAGCACAAGAGAUCUCCUGGCUGGCCCCACCCCCUCAGCCAAGGCGCCGCCCACCCUGAAGCGCCUCCUGCAGGUGAGGGGGG